Molecule: unclassified non-coding RNA, 438 nt
Filed under: Origanum vulgare (oregano)
Lineage: Eukaryota; Viridiplantae; Streptophyta; Magnoliopsida; Lamiales; Lamiaceae
Description: partial external transcribed spacer
Source: RNAcentral
GUAUUGUGUGAUGGAUCCCUGCUUGGGCAGCGACAUCAUCUCAUYCACGUCUUUUCAGUUUCAUGGCGUGAGCAUUGGCUCGCCCGAAGUUGGUUUCUUCCUGUGUUGAAUACCAGUAUUCAAGGCAUGAUGUUGGAUAAAUUGCCCAUUUCCCGCCUUGUGCUGCUGCCCCUUGCGGGGCAAGCGGUGCGGGGUGGGCCAAACAGCGCUAGCCGUGUGUCCCAUCUCAACGCCCUAUAAAAGGGCGUCGGGCUGAUGAUCCAUGGCAUGGAGCUCGUUCUCUUGGGUCCGGAACAUUGUGUGGGUACGGGGCCAUGGGCCUCGGAGCACCACAAUUAAGCGUUCUACGCUUCAUGCGAACGACUGUCGGUUCGGCCUCUGGCUGGACACUCGUGGCUKGNUUCASAGCCGUGCCGACGUCGAUGAGGAAUGCUACCU